UUUUUUUUCUCCCGCGCCGCCGAUGUCCGCUACGUUCCUGACCUAGGCACCGGUCUCCGUCGAAGACCGCCGCCUCCCGAGCGCUACGCGUCGGUGGGGGUCCAGAUCCCAAGGGGAAAGAAGAAGAGGUGCGCUUAGUCCAAUGAUCGUGGUCGUAGCUACCGCCGUCGUCGUGGCCGCCUGCGCUUCCGCCUCCGGCGGUUCUACCUGGAGGAGCUCCUGCUGCUGCUCAAGCUCUAGCUGGUUCCAUGCACGUUCGAGUAGGGCGAAGGGGAAGAGCGGCGUCGUGACUACAACAUGAACCCGCUUGUGCCAGUUAAGUUGUACUGAACAAUCGCAGCACUACAACUAAACCAGCUAAUCCAAACCCAACUAAGCUUUAGACACGCUACCUAUGCAGCCAAUAGAGUUCGAAGGAAGUUCUAGCCAAAAUCCUCUUAUAAGCGGAGUUUAAUUCCUGUUUAAUCAUCGUGGACCUAACAAAGGCUACACCUAAAAUGGUUCGCACUCUAUCAGUACUGGAGUCCAUCAUAAUAGCACACGAGAGUCACCGGUGGACAACAGUAAAUAUUAGAAGUGAUGACGAAGGACUUAUUAAUCGAGUCACCUUAUCCAAGAGAAACUAUUACAAACAUGUACAAAUAGUCACCAACAAUGAUGCAAGGAAAAUCAAUUCGUAUCUUGUCUACCAGACUAGAACAACAUAAAUAGAAGUACUAAUAAAGAAGAUCUAAUUUAUAGUCCGUGUGUGUUGAUCCACAACGUGUAGAAGAGGGAACCCUCGUAACUAUAACUUAGGGCCAAAGAAGAAACAACUGUACUGACGGAUUUUGACGUGUUAAUCUUACCAGUCAGGUACAUCUAAGUUUCCCAUAAUCCUUUAUUUGGGCAACAACAACUGACAAAGUAGUUAACCGUAUAACUAUAGCGACAUAACUCACAAACUCAAUGGAACGGUACAGUUACAGGCCUUUAUCGUAGACGUCUGUACAACAGGUGCAUCUACCUGUUUUGCUUUGAUGUACUAUGGUACUUUGCACAGUUGUAUAUAUAAACGGUUGACAUACUAGCUAGAUAGAUUUGGUUGAAAACAGGAAAAAGAGGCAACGACGGGCACCCGUACGAACACGACACUUAUCGCCAUACGACCGGAACCUCCCAGAUCUGCGUACAUAUUCCAGUUUAUUGUCAAGUUACGGAAAAAAGAAAAAAUUUACCCUUCUUCAGUAAACCUCCUCUAUUACGAAAUUCCAAAAGAACCUAAGAUUGUUCUCCUUCACAAGAUCGAACACUACCCUGUCAGGAAAAGAUGAAUUGUAGUUAAAAGUCUGAACUAAACUUAGGUAUCCCAACCUAUGUCCCACUGUUGACGAAACAGUAACACUACUCUAAAUCCAAACCAAUAUAUGGUUUUGCCGUUUUGGAUAAAACAUUCAACGGUGAUAUGAACUAAGAAACUACUUCAACCAGAAAAGAAUACCCUAUAACUGGCAGAUUAGGCUGUUGCAGCAUAACUUCAGCUCUGCUUUUUGUAGUACACACGAGAAUGAAGAUUUUAAGAAACUUAAUAAUUGACCUACUUACACGAAGUUUCAGCUCUUUUUUACGUGAGUCGCCUUCAGGAGGCACGUGGGGAGAGAGAGGUUGGUAACGGGGAGGUGGGGCAUCGUUGCGUACCCGCACGAGACGAUAGAAGAGCCUGACCUUAAGCUCAAACACCAUUUUUAGGGUACUGUAAAGAGUACAAUUAUAACAAUAAUUGUCCUCGGGAGGGGAAAGAACAUGACAGAAACAGACACAUUUACGAGGUUUCUUCGUUCUUGGUCGUCCAGCGAACAACCAGCCACGUUGGUUCUCGUUCUUCCCAACAACCAGCGGCACCGACGCCGGCGGCUGGUUAUCGUCGUCCAGAGGCUCGUCGGUCAGGGUUCGAAACUGCAGAAGGACCUGAUCCUCUUUUCUUUGGAUUCUAAGUUCCAGAAGGGACAGGUUCUCGUCGCUCUAGGUUCUAGACUCCAGAAGGGCAAGAUCCUUAGGAUGACACUAAAAAACUUGAUGUUUUAAUGAUGUUACAACCUGUAAAAAACGGAGAAUUCACUAGAGAAAGUAAGAUACGAACUAUACAUGACGUGAAUUUUACAUCGAAACAACGUUGUCAGACUUCAGUUCCAAAUAAAAGUCCACGUAAGUUCACUCUUCAGUCUAAAUGAACGAUUUAGUACGUACACUUUAUACUACAGAAUAGUGUUCCGAUGUUUAUAAAACGUCAACAUGUCUGAUGGAUUUGAAUCGUAUAUACACACACAAGAAGUAUGAUUACGUGUAGGGUACUCUUACUUACACCUAAGGGACCAUCAAUCUCCGAAUCUCGUCUCCCUUAAUUUCAGUUUUAUUUAGAUGUCCUAUACCAAACACAAGUCACUUCGCUGACUUUGAUUGACGUCGUAACGGUUUAGACGUUUACCCUAGAUUAGAUUGAUCUCUUUACUAAAAGACGACCUGAGAUGGACUACAUGUACUUAAUAGUAAAGAAUAAAUUGUACAUUAAGACAAGUUUUACUCUUUCUACACCAUGAUACAAUUCAAUCCUACGAGUCGAGGUUGAAUUGGACAAAACGUCGAGGUAAUACAGAACGAUGUGGUUAGCGAACGGAAUCACCAAGUCCCUUGACUACCACCUAAAUGAAAAGAAAGUACAUAAUCUAUACCUCAGGCACGAAGAACCUAAAAGUUUUAAAAUAGAAGUAAAUACGACUAAAAGGACAGUUUUGAAAUUUAGUUAAUAAACGAACACAGAAGCUGAAGAACAAAAACGAUAAAGGAUUAACACGCGGGUCAGACCUAUUUUAAGUAAUCGUGUAUAAGGAAUGUGACUAUAAAAAUAUAAAUAAACAAAAACACCUUAGCUUACAUUUGUGACGUAUUAUACAGGAAACUAGAAAAAGAUCGGCGCUCGGUUGUUCAACAAGGUCAGAUCCCCGUCGGUACCAAAGCGGUACACCCAACCACCGUCUCCGGUCUGGUUACGAGGAACGCCACUGUAGAUUCAGCGCCUUCCACAGCGGUUACUGCUACAGGUGGUUAUGUUGGUUAGUAUACCACAGCUUAAGUAUAAUAAAACACUUCUUAACCUCAUGUCGGUUGACUUCCGGUGGUGGUGGUAGACUGGAAUUGGACACGUCACAGCUUAAGUAUAAGAAAACACUUAUAAACCUCAUGUCGGCUGACUUCUGGUGAAUAGUACGAAUACUAACACCGAUGAAUGUCGGUUAGUAUACGUGGAUCUCACUAUACAAGAAACAGUAUAGUACAUACAUCAAGGUGCUUGGAGUAUAACCUAUACUCACUAAACAUCUCUUAAGAACUAAAAGAAAAGUAAUAAGUACGUUCUACUACAAAGGAAUAAAAAAGGGAUAUCAUAUACUAUUAAAGCAUUAAUGAAUACCUGUAGACCAUUGGAUGGUUAUAUUUGG
This 3473-nucleotide ribosomal RNA is filed under the name Triticum aestivum (bread wheat). Its description in RNAcentral is "partial small subunit ribosomal RNA". The record is from RNAcentral. Lineage: Eukaryota; Viridiplantae; Streptophyta; Magnoliopsida; Poales; Poaceae.